RNAcentral lists this ribosomal RNA (492 nucleotides) under uncultured bacterium. Its description in RNAcentral is "partial 16S ribosomal RNA". It matches the Rfam family "Bacterial small subunit ribosomal RNA", at positions 29 to 507 of the family's 1533-position model. The record is from RNAcentral.
AGUGAACGCUGGCGGUAGGCCUAACACAUGCAAGUCGAACGGCAGCACAGUAAGAGCUUGCUCUUACGGGUGGCGAGUGGCGGACGGGUGAGGAAUACAUCGGAAUCUACUUUUUCGUGGGGGAUAACGUAGGGAAACUUACGCUAAUACCGCAUACGACCUACGGGUGAAAGCAUGGGAUCUUCGGACCUUGCGCGAUUGAAUGAGCCGAUGUCGGAUUAGCUAGUUGGCGGGGUAAAGACCCACCAAGGCGACGUUCCGUAGCUGGUCUGAGAGGAUGAUCAGCCACACUGGAACUGAGACACGGUCCAGACUCCUACGGGAGGCAGCAGUGGGGAAUAUUGGACAAUGGGCGCAAGCCUGAUCCAGCCAUACCGCGUGGGUGAAGAAGGCCUUCGGGUUGUAAAGCCCUUUUGUUGGGAAAGAAAAGCAGCAGGUUAAUACCCCGCUGUUCUGACGGUACCCAAAGAAUAAGCACCGGCUAACUUCGUG